RNAcentral lists this ribosomal RNA (811 nucleotides) under Sorex araneus (European shrew). RNAcentral describes it as "partial 16S ribosomal RNA". The stretch from base 163 to 638 matches the Rfam family "Bacterial large subunit ribosomal RNA", at positions 573 to 1301 of the family's 2925-position model. Lineage: Eukaryota; Metazoa; Chordata; Mammalia; Eulipotyphla; Soricidae. The record is from RNAcentral.
AAAGCUAGCCCAAACAAUAAAUUAACUUAUCCAAAUACCAAAUAACCUUAAACUAAAACAUUCAUCUACUAAAGUAUAGGAGAUAGAAAUUUUAAUUUGGCGCUAUAGAGAAAGUACCGUAAGGGAACGAGUGAAAGAAACAAUUAAAAGUACGAAACAGCAAAGAUUACCCCUUGUACCUUUUGCAUAAUGAUUUAACUAGAAAAACUUUAGCAAAGAGGCCUUAAGUUAAACACCCCGAAACCAGACGAGCUAUCCAUGAACAGCCCAAAAAGAGCAAACUCGUCUAUGUAGCAAAAUAGUGAGAAGAUUUAUGGAUAGAGGUGAAAAGCCUACCGAGCCUGGUGAUAGCUGGUUGUCCAGAUAAGAAUUUUAGUUCAACUUUAAAUUUACUACAAAAAUAUAUAAUUACACCGUAAAUUUAACUGUUAAUCUAAAGGGGUACAGCCCUUUAGACUAAGGAUACAACCUUAAUUAGAGAGUAAAUAUACUAAUAACCAUAGUUGGCCUAAAAGCAGCCAUCAAUUAAGAAAGCGUUCAAGCUCAACAAUAAUUAAUUCCUUAAUCCAAUGAUUAUAUAUUAACUCCUGACUUACUACUGGACUAAUCUAUUAAUCAAUAGAAGAAAUACUGUUAAUAUGAGUAACAAGAUUUAUAUCUCCUAGCACAAGCUUAUAUCAAACCGAAUAAUAACUGAUAGUUAACGGCCAAAUAAAUAUAAUCCCACAUAAACUAUUUAUUAACCCACCUGUUAAUCCAACACAGGUGUGCAUAAAGGAAAGAUUAAAAGAAAUAAAAGGAACUCGGCAAA